This 87-nucleotide transfer RNA is filed under the name Prevotella sp. S7 MS 2. Its description in RNAcentral is "tRNA-Leu". It matches the Rfam family "tRNA". From Rfam's summary of the family: Transfer RNA (tRNA) molecules are approximately 80 nucleotides in length. Lineage: Bacteria; Pseudomonadati; Bacteroidota; Bacteroidia; Bacteroidales; Prevotellaceae. The record is from RNAcentral.
GGAGAGGUGGCGGAAUUGGUAGACGCGCUACUUUGAGGGGGUAGUGAUAAUUGCAUCGUGGGAGUUCGAGUCUCCUCCUCUUCACUA